Long non-coding RNA from Salvia splendens (bonfire salvia), 247 nucleotides. RefSeq lists it as uncharacterized. The record is from RefSeq and is a predicted model, not a curated record. The transcript has 2 exons. NCBI's taxonomy places the organism in Eukaryota, Viridiplantae, Streptophyta, Magnoliopsida, Lamiales, Lamiaceae.
CAACCAAGCUGGAAGGGCAAGCCAUUUCUGGUGGUAGCAGCCUUCAUUCUUACCUAUUUUGUUCGGUUGGUGCUCGGCAGAGAAAUAUGGAUGCUAAGUGUGGUUCUCACCUUGGUGUCCCAGUUCGUCUGGCCGCUUGAGCUGGGCUAAGACCGGGCCUGACACGUGUCCUAUGACUCGAAUUGUAAUAGCGUAGCCCCACGUGUAAACUUUCUUUAACAUGUAAAAUAGUUAGUUGAGUUGUGUA